RNAcentral lists this ribosomal RNA (632 nucleotides) under uncultured Lachnospiraceae bacterium. RNAcentral's name for it is "bacterial SSU rRNA". It matches the Rfam family "Bacterial small subunit ribosomal RNA", at positions 28 to 673 of the family's 1533-position model. The record is from RNAcentral. Lineage: Bacteria; Bacillati; Bacillota; Clostridia; Lachnospirales; Lachnospiraceae.
GACGAACGCUGGCGGCGCGCCUAACACAUGCAAGUCGAACGGAGCUUAGAGAGCUUGCUUUUUAAGCUUAGUGGCGAACGGGUGAGUAACGCGUGAGUAACCUGCCCUAGAGUGGGGGACAACAGUUGGAAACGACUGCUAAUACCGCAUAAGCCCACGGUACCGCAUGGUACUGAGGGAAAAGGAUUUAUUCGCUUUAGGAUGGACUCGCGUCCAAUUAGCUAGUUGGUGAGGUAACGGCCCACCAAGGCGACGAUUGGUAGCCGGACUGAGAGGUUGAACGGCCACAUUGGGACUGAGACACGGCCCAGACUCCUACGGGAGGCAGCAGUGGGGGAUAUUGCACAAUGGGGGAAACCCUGAUGCAGCGACGCCGCGUGGAGGAAGAAGGUUUUCGGAUUGUAAACUCCUGUCGUUAGGGACGAUAAUGACGGUACCUAACAAGAAAGCACCGGCUAACUACGUGCCAGCAGCCGCGGUAAAACGUAGGGUGCAAGCGUUGUCCGGAAUUACUGGGUGUAAAGGGAGCGCAGGCGGGAAGACAAGUUGGAAGUGAAAACCAUGGGCUCAACCCAUGAAUUGCUUUCAAAACUGUUUUUCUUGAGUAGUGCAGAGGUAGAUGGAAUUCCCGG